AACCAUAGAAACCUGCGGAGUACCUGCGGAGGGAUCAUUACAGAAUAAAUAUGAUAGGUUGUCGCUGGCCAUCGGGCAUGUGCACACUUGUCAUUUUUAUCUUUCCACCAAGUGCACUUUGCAUAGGACUGAAAACCUUUUGAUCAGGGGGUCACCUUUGAUUUCUGGAAAAUGCUGUUGUAACUCGAUGACGGCUUUUUCUGACUUCAGUUCCUAUGAUUUAUACACAUACACCAAUUG
RNAcentral lists this unclassified non-coding RNA (240 nucleotides) under soil metagenome. RNAcentral describes it as "partial contains 5.8S ribosomal RNA, internal transcribed spacer 2, and large subunit ribosomal RNA". The record is from RNAcentral.